UCAUUUCCUUCUGGAUACAUUGUUUAGAUUCCUCUUUUCAUUUCGUUACUUUUAUUUAAUUGUUUUUAUUAUUUGUUUACAUUUCAAAUGUUAUCCCCCUUCCUGGUCUCCUUUCCAGGCUCACCGAUCCCUUCCUCCUCCCCUUUGUCCCUAAUGGCAUAUAUCUACCUUGUCUGGAGGUUUUUUUCUUGGGAAACUCUUGAAAUGUCUCUAAGCAUAAAGGUAGGAUCUAGUAAGGAUAUGUUCUCAAUUGAAACACCAAUCCUCUGUUGAGGGACCGCAUCAAGAUGAACUAGCCAGUAGCCCCAGACCUUCCUGGGACUAAACAGCCAACCAAAGAAAACACAUGGUGGGACUCAUGGCUCUAGCUGCAUAUGUAGCAGAGGAUGGCCUUGUCGGAGGAGAGGCCCUUGGUCCUGUGAAGAUUCUCUGCACCAGUAUAGGGGAAUGCCAGGGCCAGGAAGCAGGAGUGGGUGAGUUGGUGAGCAGGGGGAUAGGGGCUUUCCGAAUGGGAAACCAGGAAAGGGAUAACAUUUGAAAUGUAAAUAAAGAAGACAUCUAGUAAAAAAGAUGCAUUUCCCUUUCAAAACAAAACAAAACAAACAAAUAAACAAAAGAAACAUUAACCCUAUUCCUAAAUUCUUUAAAAAUGAUCUAAUUCACAUAAAAAGAUUAAAUGGUAAUUUUAUUUAUUCCUAUUUUGUUUGUUUGUUUUCCUACUUGGUUACAUCUAUGUUCUCUUGUGGCUCUGCUGACAUCUCAGAAAUCUUGCCUCAAGUGACACAUUAAUGCAAUACAAAAUCCACAAGAGUAAGACAAAGAAAGAAACAAAGAAAGAAAGAGAGAGAGAGAAAAGAGGGAAGGAAGGGAGUGAGGGAGGAAGGGAGGAAGGAAGGAAGGAAGGAAGGAAGGAAGGAAGGAAGG
This 924-nucleotide long non-coding RNA is filed under the name Mus musculus (house mouse). RNAcentral's name for it is "long non-coding RNA chr5:81041225-81042149". The record is from RNAcentral. Lineage: Eukaryota; Metazoa; Chordata; Mammalia; Rodentia; Muridae.